CUGAGAAAUUCCCUUAUAGAAGACCUCAGUUUCUCCCAUUUCAGAAUUUAACUGAAAAAAAUGCACAUCUAUCCAUCCCCAUGCUUCAUUUAGGCUGCAAAUCCUUUUUAUCUUUUAAAAUACUACAUGUGUUUUUCCAUAAUACUUAAGAAAUUUUAUAGCACUUGGUGCUAUCAGGAGAACUAACCCAUCAACUUUUGCUACAUAUUUGCUGGACUAGCUUUUUUUCUUUUUUCUUUUUUUUUAAAUAGGAGUUUGAUUCUAAAGAAGGUAUAUUACAAGGAGACAUCUACCAAAUACAUCUAGGAUAAAUUCCUAAAUUUCUUUCUUCCUUUUGCUUUCCAGAAGCAACGACCCCCACCAAAGUGCGCUGCUCCCUGCCUGGCAGGAGAUCUGGCAAAGAGUCCUGUGCAAACAUUCCAUAAAGGCGUCUAACAGCCCUGCCUGCUGCUCUGGCUUCUCUCUCUUUGUGACCACACAGAAGAUGCUCCAGUCAAAUCUACCGUGAGAAAGACUAGAAGAGCUGAGCUCUCCUCACCUGAUCCAUCCUUCCUGAAAUCAGAAGCUGGAAUAUAAGAAUUCCCUCUUUCAGAACACUGCUGGUGAUGGAUAGUAUAUUUUCUCUGUAUUCUUGCUUAGUAGCAACCAAACAAUCUGGCCUUCCCAUCUGUUACAUAUUCAGAUGACUCCUAUUAAAAAUACUUAUGCUGUUCUCAUUCAACUGCUAUUUCAAUGCAGUUCAUUUACCUCCAAUAAAAUAAAACAAAGCAGCA
Molecule: non-coding RNA, 773 nt
Organism: Pantherophis guttatus
Lineage: Eukaryota; Metazoa; Chordata; Lepidosauria; Squamata; Colubridae
Source: RefSeq, a predicted model, not a curated record